RNAcentral lists this long non-coding RNA (3306 nucleotides) under Gossypium barbadense (sea-island cotton). RNAcentral's name for it is "long non-coding RNA (GBAR_LNC011569)". Lineage: Eukaryota; Viridiplantae; Streptophyta; Magnoliopsida; Malvales; Malvaceae. The record is from RNAcentral.
GAUUUGAUUUUAUUGAUUGUUGUUAAAGCAUCUCCUUCAAUGCUAACCUCUCAGAAUCCUAGUUCAUCAACAAAAAUGACCAUCUAAAAACAUGCCCUUACUUCUGCCAUGGUUGGGUUUGUGAAAUUCAACCACAGGUAAAUACAUGACUGAUAGCUUGUUUAUUUUACAUAUUUUAUGUGUUCAAAUCAAUUAAUUAUUGAAUUAAUUUAUGCUAAUUGGUGAUUUUAUAUUUACAUUAUGUUAGGAAUGAAAUUCGGAUGCCGUGUCUACACUAUAUCGAUAGAAGCAAGACUAAUAAGUCUCUAAAUUUUGCAACCCUGAACCAUCAUGCAAGAUAAAGCAACAUUCGACAAUGACAACUCCCAGUCUGUAAGGAAAUUGAUCUUUACACUUUUGAUAUGCUUAAUAUAUGUGAUGUUGUAUGAACUAUUUUGAUGCUAUUGGUUGGAAUUUAUUUGCAAAUAUUUCAGGUGCUAUAUAUUAUGAACUAGCCUUUGAGUUCUAUGCAACAUUUAGCUUCAAUAUUAUUGCCUUGCAAACUGUUGAAACUUGAGAUGUCUAUUUUCGAUUACUAGGUAAUUAUUUUAGGAUGUCGAUUUCAGAUUUUAACAUCGACAUGGGUUUCACUAACCCUGACGGUGUUCAAACUAAUUCUUACCAUAAUGCUUUAUUGGAUAUACCAAGUAAUUUCGAUGCCAGUGAUGCUUAUUCUUCUUUAACUCAAUCUAGGGAUCAUCUUUAUAAUCCCAAGACCUCUAAGGAGUUGUUAGUGCAUGAACUAGCUUUAAGGUAUAUUCAUCGGAUUUUAGCUUUUAGCUAUUCAAGUGGAAGUGAUUCAUCAUCUGUUUAACCAAUACAGAAUUAUUUUUCUUGUGGUGUAUGCAUUCUAGAUAUAAGGUUAAUUUAGGAUAUUAGUUUGCACGAAAUUUUCAUAUUGUUUUACGCUCUAAUCAACCACUCAUACUUGACUCGUAUAUUACAAAUUUAGUCUCCCAACUUUUUCUCUUUGAGGUCGAUUUUUCCUUCUUUACAUGUACGUAUACUAUGGAUCAUCUAGAUGAGAAUUGUUUGGAUACCAUGAGUUUGCUCGCCGGCACCCCUACUGUAUAUUAUUUUGUUCCUCUAGGUAUACGAACUGCUUGCAGUAAUAGGGUCUUUUGCCAACGUCAUAACUUCACUACUAGGGAGCAAGAUGAGUAGCCUCAUUCAUCUGUGGAGGCACGUUUAAGCUCAUCGAAGCCCACCUUGAGACAAUGGAGACCCAAGUCUCCAUAAUUCUCGACAUCUUGUAGAGUAGUCAUCCCCAACACUGACAACCACGUUAGAUAUACAUAGGGAGUAUACUUGUAAUAGCUCGGUUUAGACCCUAGUCAAAAUAGUGGUUUCGAGACCACAAGUCCAAGUCAAAAAAAUAUUUUAAUAUUAUUUUCUGUGCUUAUAAUAUGUGAAUUUACAUGUGUGAAAGUAUCGUAUAAAAUUUGAUCAUUUGUGUGCUUAAUUUGAUAAAAGGAUCUAAUCGCGUAAAAUGUAAAAGUUGCCUGCUGUUUGUUAAAGUGCUUAAUUGAUUUGUCUUAUUAAAGGAGAGGUCUUUAUGAUGCAAUUAAACCAUUCAAAGCAUGAGUAGACAAUUAUGGCCUUAAUAGAAUGGUUUAUUAAAUGGUUUAAUAAAAGGGAAAAUUGGUAUUUAGUAUAUUAUGUUAAUUAAAUUAAACAAAACAUGAAUUAGUUCAUUAUUUAUCAUCCAUUCUCAAAUUCAUCAAAGAAAAAGAAGAAAAAAAUAAAUCUUAGGGUUUUGACACUUUGAUUGUUGAUUAAGGUAUGUGUUUUGAUUCGUUUUUAAUAAUUUCUACGUUUUUGUGAUCGUUGCUUAGUGUUCUAUCAAGCCCAAAUCUCAAUUUCUGAUUUUUUAUGAUUUUGAAAUAUGCCAUUGAUGAAAUUGUGAGCUUUGUGAUGUUAGUUGUUGGAAAAUAAAAGAUAUGUGUUGGGUUGAUAUAUUUUGUCUUUGAAUUUUUGAUGAAUAUGAGUAAUUUGGACUAAAUUGUAGAAAGGAGAUUUUGAGGGACUAAAAUAUGAAAUAAUGAAAUAUAUGGACUUCUAUAAACACUAUGAGAAUUCAGCCUAACAUGGGUAUAUGGAGAUUAUGUGUAUUUUGUGAUUUUGUAAAUUAAGGACUAAAGUGUUAAAAUGUGAAAAUGUGAGGGGUAAUUUGUAAAAUGCCCUAAAUGUGUGUUUGUGGAUUGAUUUGAAUGAUUUGGUGAAUAAAAGAGCUAAAUUUUAAUGUGUUUAGAUCAAGAACAAAAGAAAACGAAAUUAGAUCGAGGGAAAAUGAAAGUCAUUAAAUAGUCGCUUGUUUCUGUUCAUUUCCGUACGAGGUAAGUCGAUAUACAAUAAACAUGUUUUGAAUUGAAUUAUUAUUGUUAAUGUGAUAUUGAACAUUGAUGAAUGGUUAUAUGAGUUGAGCAUGAGAUAUCCGAGAAGGUAUAGACAAAGUUUCAACGUCCGAAAGGCCCCGUACGAACCAUAGGAAUAGUUAGGAUACAUAGUCAUGACAUAGGAUUCUGAUAUGUGUUAUCGCGUAAGACCAUGUUUGGGACGUUGGCAUCGACUUAUGAUUUACAUGUAAGACCGUAUCUGGGAUGUUGGCAUCAUAUUUGAUUUCGUGUAAGACCCUGUCUAGGACAGUGGCAUCGAUAUUUGAUUACAUGUAAGACCACGUCUGGGACGUUGGCAUUGUUCGAGCUUUUCGAGCUAUCCACGUAUCCUUAUGAUUCUGAACGGUUCAACGGGCAUUCCGAGAAACGAAUAAUUAUAUGUGAUGUGUAUCCGAUUCAGGUACGUUCGAAAUGUAUACUAUGUUUGAGAAUAAAAGGUAAGUAUAUGUACAAGUGAUGAUAUAUGUUAUAAGUAUGAGAAAAUAUGCUAUAUGUGGAAAUGAAUUAGGAAUAUGUUAAAUGUAUAUGAACUAUGUGGUUUGAGAUAGUAUUUAGCCAUGGAGUAUAUUUAAUUUGAUGAUGCUUUCAUGUUUUGAAUGUUAAGUUUAUUUGUAUAUGGCUUACUAAGCUUUUGAAAGCUUACUUUGUGUGUUUUUCAACUAUUUUAUAGAUAUCAUAGCUAUCGGGGGCUCGAGGAUCAUCAAGGAUCGUCACCACACUAUCGAACCUUAUUUUGGUACCUUUUGACAUUGUGAAUAUAAAAGUAUGACAUGUAUAGGCUAAAAGUAUUUGGAUAUGUUUUGUAAUGUGAUAUGGCUAGUUUGUGUUUGAAUUUAUGGUUUGAUUUUGAUAUAUGAUAUGUGAUGCAAAU